Molecule: ribosomal RNA, 344 nt
Filed under: Mariprofundaceae bacterium
Lineage: Bacteria; Pseudomonadati; Pseudomonadota; Candidatius Mariprofundia; Mariprofundales; Mariprofundaceae
Description: bacterial SSU rRNA
Rfam family: Bacterial small subunit ribosomal RNA
Source: RNAcentral
UCUUUGGAGAGUUUGAUCCUGGCUCAGAACGAACGCUGGCGGCGUGCUUAACACAUGCAAGUCGAACGGUAACAGGGACUUCGGUCCGCUGACGAGUGGCGCACGGGUGAGUAACACGUGGGUAUCUGCCUAUUAGUGGGGGACAACUUGGAGAAAUCCAAGCUAAUACCGCAUAAUCUCUACGGAGGAAAGCGGGGGAUCUUCGGACCUCGCGCUGAUAGAUGGGCCCGCGCCUGAUUAGCUAGUUGGUAAGGUAAUGGCUUACCAAGGCGAUGAUCAGUAACUGGUUUGAGAGGAUGAUCAGUCACACUGGAACUGAGACACGGUCCAGACUCCUACGGGAG